CCCAUUACAAAGUUACAAAGGUCGGUAUCAAAAUAUUGAAUUAGUCAACUUGAGUUUUGUCUCAUUGUUAAUUAUCUUAGUUAAGCAAAAGAAAGAGUCUCAUUCUCAUUAAUGGUUUAUUUUUGGUUCGGUUAUAUUCAAAAUUACGUACCGUAAGUUAUUUCGCAAGCAAUCACAAAAAGUAUCUCCUCAUAAUUGUAUCAGAUAUACAGUCAAAAUCCUGGUAAGUCGAUCAUCAUCAAUUCAAUCAAAAUAUAUAAUUUACAUACCAAUACAAAAUUUGACAUUUAAUUUAGCUAUAUAUAUUGAUUUCAUAUUGCGAUACCAAUAUUCUGAUUCUUCUUUCUUCUCUCUCUCAAUCUCUCAUAUAUAUCGAUCUGAGGCAGUCAUUUCUUAAAUUUCUAUUAAAUAUACAUAUGUAUGUGUUUAUUUAUGUAACUAUUUGAUUCGACCAAUGCUAGCUCCUUUUUAUUUCUUGUCUUCUUCUAUGUAUCAUAUAUUUUAAUUGACUUCUCAGAUGAUAAUGAUUUUCACACUAAUAAUAAUAUUGUCAUAUUCAACCUGGAAUCGCCAAGUUUACAUACAGAGGGUUGUAGAGCGUUUAAAAUGGUUUUCAAAAAUAUCAUUAAUAAAUCUAUUCAAGACGAUGGUUUGGUAAGCUAUAUUUUAUAAUUAUUUUAUUUUAUUUCUUUUCUAAUAUGAGAAUAAUGAUGUAAGAUGGGUGUGCAUAGCAUGACCUGGUUCUAUCAGGGAAGAAGUUAUUGUCACAAACAAAACUGGCUGAAGAAGACGCUGAGAGGAAUGUGAAGAAGAACAUCAGGAGGGAAAAACACUUGAUGAGAGAAAAGGGACAUGUGAUACCAGCAAAUUAUUUGGAUGCACUUGAAAAGUUUUAAUUGGUGUUACAAAAGGAGGUCGUAUCAUACCGUGCCAUAGAAAAAUAUAGGUGAUCAUGUCGUGAUGUACCAAUAUUUUUAAAGAGUAUGUUCAGUACGACCCGUAGGCCUGGUAUUUUCAUACAUUGGAUUAUUAGAAUAUUUCUAAUUAAGGAAAUAAAAUAAUAUUAUUGAUUCUGAUAAAUGAAUAUUUUAUAUUCAUUGAAUCUGGACAGAAUCAAUUACGUAAUAUUCUAUAUAUGGUCAGAUUUCUAUAUUCAUUACCUGAUUUGAUUUCCUGAAU
This is a long non-coding RNA of Cannabis sativa, 1179 nucleotides long. RefSeq lists it as uncharacterized. The transcript is spliced from 3 exons. Lineage: Eukaryota; Viridiplantae; Streptophyta; Magnoliopsida; Rosales; Cannabaceae. The record is from RefSeq and is a predicted model, not a curated record.